This 76-nucleotide transfer RNA is filed under the name Chloroflexota bacterium. Its description in RNAcentral is "tRNA-Arg". It matches the Rfam family "tRNA". Rfam says of the family: Transfer RNA (tRNA) molecules are approximately 80 nucleotides in length. Their secondary structure includes four short double-helical elements and three loops (D, anti-codon, and T loops). The record is from RNAcentral. Lineage: Bacteria; Bacillati; Chloroflexota.
GCGCGCGUAGCUCAGUGGAUAGAGCAUUUGUCUUCGGAACAAAGGGUCGGGGGUUCGAGCCCCUCCGCGCGCACCA